RNAcentral lists this ribosomal RNA (773 nucleotides) under uncultured beta proteobacterium. RNAcentral describes it as "bacterial SSU rRNA". It matches the Rfam family "Bacterial small subunit ribosomal RNA", at positions 55 to 819 of the family's 1533-position model. Lineage: Bacteria; Pseudomonadati; Pseudomonadota; Betaproteobacteria. The record is from RNAcentral.
AUGCAAGUCGAACGGCAGCACGGAGAGCUUGCUCUCUGGUGGCGAGUGGCGAACGGGUGAGUAAUAUAUCGGAACGUAUCCAAUAAUGGGGGAUAACGAGUCGAAAGAUUCGCUAAUACCGCAUACGCCCUACGGGGGAAAGCAGGGGAUCGUAAGACCUUGCGUUAAUGGAGCGGCCGAUAUCUGAUUAGCUUGUUGGUGAGGUAAAGGCUCACCAAGGCGACGAUCAGUAGCUGGUUUGAGAGAACGACCAGCCACACUGGAACUGAGACACGGUCCAGACUCCUACGGGAGGCAGCAGUGGGGAAUUUUGGACAAUGGGGGCAACCCUGAUCCAGCCAUUCCGCGUGAGUGAAGAAGGCCUUCGGGUUGUAAAGCUCUUUCGCAAGGGAAGAAAACUUAUGAUCGAAUAAAUCAUGAGGUUGACGGUACCUUGAUAAGAAGCACCGGCUAACUACGUGCCAGCAGCCGCGGUAAUACGUAGGGUGCGAGCGUUAAUCGGAAUUACUGGGCGUAAAGCGUGCGCAGGCGGUUUUGUAAGUCGGAUGUGAAAUCCCCGGGCUCAACCUGGGAACUGCGUUCGAAACUGCAAGGCUAGAGUGUGUCAGAGGGGGGUAGAAUUCCACGUGUAGCAGUGAAAUGCGUAGAGAUGUGGAGGAAUACCAAUGGCGUAGGCAGCCCCCUGGGAUAACACUGACGCUCAUGCACGAAAGCGUGGGGAGCAAACAGGAUUAGAUACCCUGGUAGUCCACGCCCUAAACGAUGUCAACUAG